This 435-nucleotide long non-coding RNA is filed under the name Helianthus annuus (common sunflower). Its description in RNAcentral is "hypothetical non coding rna". Lineage: Eukaryota; Viridiplantae; Streptophyta; Magnoliopsida; Asterales; Asteraceae. The record is from RNAcentral.
GUUUGGCCUGUUUAGAUAAAUGGGUUACAUGUUAUGUUCUUGAUGUCAUUGACACAAAUAACUUUAUGGUUGGUGUUUGGGUUCAUUAUUCUCGAAAUCUGUCAAAUCAUCUAUCUUGAUUGAGACUGUAAUCUCUCUCAUAACAAGAUGCUGCGACCACAUGAAUUGUUUCAUAUUUAAUUAAUGAUCAAGGAUGGAUUUGCAGAGGGUAAGGACCUGGUGGUGAGUGUGAUGUCAGCGAUGGGGGAGGAGCAGAUUUGUGCUCUUAAGGACAUUGGCCCCAAGUAAACUCGUACACCAUCAUUGGCAGCAGCAGGAAACGCUUUUGCUGUUGUAUUUCUGUUUGGGCAUCUUAAGGUUUUUAUUUCCAUGUAAUGUACUUCGAAUUUCUUUUAUUGCAGCAGCUAUGAUAUUGGUUUAGGGCUGCAAUUAUGA